RNAcentral lists this long non-coding RNA (2527 nucleotides) under Gallus gallus (chicken). RNAcentral describes it as "lncRNA (ENSGALG00010003175.1)". The record is from RNAcentral. Lineage: Eukaryota; Metazoa; Chordata; Aves; Galliformes; Phasianidae.
GGAAGGCUUCUCAUGAUAGGAAAGCAUUUCAGCAGGCAGGGAGAGAGUGAGUGGGAAGGCAGACAGGUCAUGGAGCAAAGCUGGGAAGGAAAAUGAAUGCCAUUGGGAUUCAUACAUAACCAGUGAAGCUAUGAAAGCUUAACACGGAGCCGAGGAAAAGGAUUGCUGCAGGCUGUGGUUUGGUGCCAUGGAUGGCACAGAGGCUGGGUGAGGGGCAGUCCCAGAGCACCUUCAUUCUCCUCCUGCAGAUGAGCAGAACACUCCAGAUAGCACUGUGGGAUGAAGGGCUUUGCUGCCCACUGCUCCAAGGUGCCCGACCAGCUGCUGGGACAGCCAGGAAGAGAGCCUGCAAGGUGGCCAUUGCUGUGCAGUAGAAGAUUGUCAACCAUUGUUACUGUGGAAACCUUUGAAAAUAUGCUCCAUGAUAAAUUGGAUCUAGUGGCACCAAGGAAUCCCGAGCCUUCACGUGAUGUCUGCAGUUUGGACAGGAAAGGAAGUGAGAUAUAACACCUGCAAGGUGCUGUGAUGCUCAGCAGUGGUUGUCAGUGCUGUUAGAAAUGUGCCAUGAAGCUCAAGCAAAGGGCAAGGAGUGAACAGCAAACUUAUUCUGAUGGAUGGAGGAAAUUUGAAUCUGAACUUCAAAUGAAUGCUCCUUGUGUCCCUGCUUCCUCCUGGACUCAUGCAGAGAAGCCACUCCCUUGUCCCUUUUGAGGGUCGCAAAUAGCACCCACAGCCCAGCCAUCUUUAGCAUCAAAUGGUAGGGACAGACUUUAAGGAAGCAGUGGGUGUUUGCAAGAGCUGAUGGCCUCAUCCCAAAAUCUCUGCGGAGCUGAUGCACAGGUUUCUCGUUCAAGGAUGUUGACAUGGUUGACUUCAGCACCAUUUGGUUGAUCAGGACUCACACUGCCCUCCAGCUCCGUGUGCCUCAUCCAGGACAGAGCUGUGUUUCUGUGGUCACAUUCAAACAUACUCCAUCUUGUGACCCACCAAUACUUCCUCUGCAGAGUUAAAUAAGAGGCGAGGUCUCGGGUUGUGUUAUGACCGAUAGUUGGCUCAGAUUAUUUGGUCACCACUGAAUGAAUGAUUUCUUUCUCCCUUACCUUUUGCCAACGUCAGUGGUGUUCUACCUUUCCUCUUUCUAUGCUAAAUAAUGCAAAGUGGUGUGAAAGAGGGGGACGGCGCUGAAGCAUCAUGCUCCAAGCCAUUUAAUUCGUCCCAUUAACAGGUGUUGUGUUGACUUGAAUUUAUUUGCCUCAAGAAAAAUGUUGAAAUGGAGUUCUUAAGUAGGACCGCACGUUGUGAAAUGUCAAAAAAUGCACUGUGUUUCUUUACUAAGAAUGGUGCAGUCUCCUAUGAGAAACCCCAUGGAUAAGCCAUCCAAGGGCCGAGGCAAUGAGUGCCCGAUAGGCAGUUUUUGUAAGUGGAACUUCUUUCAAAACUGCAGAGCAAAGAGAAAACCGUAUUUCUAAGACUUCAGUUGCUGCCUCCCGAGCUGAUGCACCCUGUCAGAUUGGAUCUCUCAUGUCACGUUACAAUCUGACUUCAGAUGUCACAGCCCAACAAAUCAGCCACAAAUCUGCCAGUUUGGUCUUCACGAGAGCGAUUUGAAGAACGAGCUUACAAGGAGAGCUUUUAUUUUUGGAUCCACUUCCCACCAAAUACUUCAGGCCAGAUACAUCUUCUAAAAGCUGUCCUAGAUGAAUACAUGCAUGGUGUGUGCACACCUGCAGCAUGUAAGGCUGUGUUGAGUACAUGGAUAAUGUUAGAUAUCUUUGUGGUCUUGUUUGGCUGCUGCUGUGAUUUACCUCUGUGCCAGCUGUGGGACGCUGCCCCACUGAGUCCCAUACAGUGGCCAUGCUUACACCUGUGGGACAUGCACCAUGAAAAUGACUGUGGGGUGCAAGCAUGCAGGCAUUUCUAUUGGGUUUUUGUCAGUUUGUUGGCUAUUGUGUCAUUUAUUUGUUUAAACAAAAGCAAAUAGAAGAAGACUGUGUCUUCAGUGUGGGUGAACUCAGAUCUCUCAGUGUGGGGGGGCUGCCUGCCAUCCCUGAGAGCUGCCCCAAGAUCCUCUUGGAGCUGCACUGCCUGCUGCUUUGGUAGAUAGGGCAUGUGGGAAACUUUCUGCUGAAGAAAAAUGCUGAUGUAGUGAGAGCAGUGAGUCUUGCUGGGAGCAUCCCUCUGCUCUCAGCUGGGGGAUGUGUUGGCUUUCUCUCCACGGAAAGGCCCCUGAUAGUACUGGAAGGCAGCAGUGCCAUUUAGGCUCGGUGGUUGUCUGGGCUCUGCUGUUGAGUGACACAGCACUUCUCUCUCCUUUGGCUACAUUAACCAGUUGCGUUGCAUGAAACAAAAAAAGUUGUAUUGGAAUGACAGUGCAGGUUUGUGCUGCCAUUGGGAUUUGGGUCCUUACAGAUGCUAAAAUAGCGAUUCUAUGCUACGUGUGUGUGUGUAUACUAGAUGAAUUCUCCAUUAUUUAUCUUCUUAUUUAAAUGCUAACCACAAUUAAGGUUAGUUAGUUAGAACACUUAGU